Small nuclear RNA from Schistocerca cancellata (South American locust), 107 nucleotides. The record is from RefSeq and is a predicted model, not a curated record. NCBI's taxonomy places the organism in Eukaryota, Metazoa, Arthropoda, Insecta, Orthoptera, Acrididae.
GUACUCGCUUCAGCUGUACAUGUACUAAACUUCGAACGCUACAGAGAAGAUUAGCAUGGCCCCUGCGCAAGGAUGACAGGCAAAAUCGUGAAGCUUUCCACAUUUUU